This is a non-coding RNA of Nicotiana tabacum (common tobacco), 3011 nucleotides long. The record is from RefSeq and is a predicted model, not a curated record. NCBI's taxonomy places the organism in Eukaryota, Viridiplantae, Streptophyta, Magnoliopsida, Solanales, Solanaceae.
CAAUCCUAUUGACUUGAGAGAGCAAUUUGGGUUAGACUACUUGGCAAUUGAAAAACAUCAAGUGGGUAAAUUAGAGUGUGUGCCAUAAUAAUCCCGAUCAAUUAAGCAAGAUUGAUAGAUAUACCUAUUUAAUUGAACACCAUGGUUGAAAUGAAUCCUUCAAAUUCCGGCAGUCUGAAAUGUGAUCAAGUUCGAAGACUAUUAAACAUGUGUACAUUGCACCUGAUGCUUUAGCAAGGGGACGUGAGGCAAAGCUUCAGAGCUUUAGGCUCCUUAAGGUAAGUGUUGAACAAAGAACUACACUUGGCAAAGGUAAAAAUUGUAAUGCAGCAGUUUCUACUCAGAAUGAGCUAGUACAGUAUAAUAGCAUUGUGCCUCCUAGUUUUGAUCCAAUGGAAGACGAUUUUCCCCUCCUUCAAGAAGCUGAAGUGAUGCAAGACACUCAGAGAAGUGAAAUAAGUCCAUGUGAAUCUGAAAAGGCAAAAAAGAUGAGAGGAAAGACCAGGUGUAAAAAUGUCUUAGCACUCAAAGCUGGAGAGAAGUUGAGAGUUACUUUUUACCAUAAUGGAGUUGUUGGGAAGCAUCAUGCCACAUUUGCAAGACACUUAGGUAUGUUAGAUCAUGAUCCUAAUAUGUGCCCGCUGCGAGUACACCCAUGGGCGGACAUCAAAGAAGAUAAGCUGGAAUGCAUGUGGCUAGCUGUUACUGUAAGGAUUUAAAGCAUUUCUUGAUUUGUUUUUCGAGCUUGAUGCAUGUCAACUAACUUGUAUGGGAUAUAUUUGCCUGCCACUGCAUUAAGCUUGAUGUGUUUGUACAACACUCCAUUAUUUUGAAACUUUUUUGGUUUUGUUGCUGGUUGCCAGCAUGGAUGAUUCUUGGUUAUUUGCUCUUUUCUGGAUUCGUGAUGUUUGGUUCAUUUCUGGUGUCCCAAAUACGUUUGACAUGCAUUAAAUCCACAAAGUUGAGAACAUGUAAUGACAUUCUUUUCCUCUGGUCAAAAGAGGUCAAUGAAGCUGAUUAUGAAAAAGCUGCAACAGUAUGAACAGGCCUCGGGUCAGAAAAUUAGCAAGGACAAAAGUUUCUUCUCACCCCUACUCACACCUCUCAAUCUAUAAGGGACGGAAUUCAGAGAGUGACGGGUUACGAGCACCAUCACUUCCCUUUCAAAUAUCUUGGUUGUCCUAUAUAUUGUGGAAGGAAGAAGCUCAGUUUCUUUGCAGAUAUGGCUACUAGACUUCUGCACAAAAUUCAGGGAUGGCAGGGUAGGCUAUUAUCGGUAGGAGGAAGGGCUACACUGAUUAAACAUGUAUUACAGUCCCAGUAUUUGCAUAUAAUGGCUGCAGUUUCUCCUCCAAAAGCUAUUCUAAAACAAUUGGAGAAGCAAUUUGCAGAUUUCUUUUGGGGGUAUAACGACUCCAAAAAAAAAAAAGUAUCAUUGGAGCACUUGGAACAAGCUGUAUUUCUCAACUGCAGAGGGAGGUGCUGGUUUCAGAAGUUUGGAGGAUAUAGCCAAGACCUUUACUGCUAAAAGGUGGUGGAGGUUGAGAACUUACGAUAAUCUAUGGUCCAAAUUCAUGAUCAAUAAAUAUUGCCCGAGAAGUCAUCCAGUAACCAAGAAAAAACAAUCUGCUGAUUCUAGUUGUUGGAGGGAGCUGAUGGAGAUUAGAAACAAGGUGGAGCCUCAUAUCUUGUGGAGAGUCCAACAAGGAUACCUCUCCUUUUGAUGGGACAAUUGGAGUGGCAUGGGUCAAUUAGCACAAUUGCUGCAUAUUCAAACCCCUGACAAUCUUUUGGUGGAAGAUAGCAUUACAGAAGGAGCAUGGAAUAUUUAUUUCCUUGAGUUAUUGGUCCCUACCAAUAUGGUUCAGCACAUCAUAGAAAUCAAAAUUGGAAAUACUCAAGGAAAGGAUAAAGCAAUAUGGAGAUUGUCUACUGAUGGUCUUUUCUCUUGCUCAACUACCUAUGAUCUUUUAAGACAAAGAGGCAGACAACAGCAAAUAUGGAAGGACACUUGGAUUAAGCACAUCCCUUUCAAAAUCUCAUUCUCAAUGUGGAGGGUCUGGAAGAAAAAAAUUCACAUGGAAGAAUCAGACAACCUCAAAUUUUUAUAUCAGGACUUUGUAUCACAUAGCACCAGCUUACAUCUGCUGGGAAAUCUGGAAAGGUAGACGUGGAGCGAGAUAUGGUAGAGAAUAUCCAACUAUGGAGAGAAUAUGCAAUGAAGUUCUCUUCCAUCUAAAGAUACACUUGAAGAAAGUUGGAGCACAAAUUGAUUUGAGAUGGAACUGGUAUACUCUUUCCAAGGAACUGGACGGAAGAAGACCUUUAACUAUUACACCAGUCUCAUGGGAGAAACAUCUAAGUAGCUAGAUUAAAGUUAAUACAGAUGGGAGCAGUAGUUCAAGAAAUCAGACAGCAGGUAUAGGAGGCAUUGUAAGGGAUAGAAAUUGAGAUUUAAUUAUGGCUUUUUCUAACAAGCUCCAUUUCUGCACUAACAAUCAAGCAGAGAUGCAGGCUGCUUUAUUUGCGGUUAACUGGUGCAAUCAACAGGGAUAUUGUAACAUCAUUUUGGAGUUAGACUCACUAUUGGUGGUAAAUAUGCUAACUGACAAGAAUGGAAUUCCUUGGGAAUUGUCUCAAUGGGUGGAGUAGAUUAAGGAUAGUUUGCAAAUUCAGCAAUACAAAAUCCAACAUUGCUAUAGAGAAGCAAACUCUGUAGCAGAUGUUCUUGCUAAAGCUGUGAGUAACAUGCAAAAUGGAAAUGUUGUUUUUUCCUAUAACUGGAAAGGCCUUCCAAAGGAUGCUAGAGGUUGCUCAAGGAUGGAUCAAAUCCAGAUGCCUAAUUUUAGGAUCAGGAGACAAAGGAAAGGGAAUUUCUUGUAAGGUUAUAUCUACGCUCACAUGUAACUGGGAGCUGUUCUCCCAAUUUUUUUGGAAAUUUAACUUAACCUAAUUGUCUUUGCACUAGGAUCUCUCUCUUUGUUCUUGGAAAUGUCACAGUACAUGAUGUG